Acyrthosiphon pisum (pea aphid) is the source of this 1252-nucleotide long non-coding RNA. RefSeq lists it as uncharacterized. The record is from RefSeq and is a predicted model, not a curated record. NCBI's taxonomy places the organism in Eukaryota, Metazoa, Arthropoda, Insecta, Hemiptera, Aphididae. The transcript has 2 exons.
UUUGCAAAUCGAUUUUCCGGGUCCGCUGCAGUACGUCACGCAGUGCGUCCGUGCCGCCGUCUGGUAGUCGUCGUUUAAAAACAAAAAACCCACAAUUAUUGUCACCGAUAAAACAAAAACCAACCGACCGACAAUAACAAUAUUCCGACGUGAUAUAAUAAUAUUAUGUUAGACUGAUCAUGCAAUAAAUUAAUAAUAAUUAAAACAGUGUAAGUGACGCACUUGCAGUUUCAGGGACGAAAAACAACAAAAACAAGUUAUAAAUCGAAAUGUAUGCUGCCGAUUUGUACUGAUUAUUGACCGUGCAUAACAUUAUAUUAUUGUAGUGUUAUUUGAGUUUAACAAGUUUAUUCAUCAUGCCGGGUUCAAGGCACAAAAUAUUAAGCCAUGUGUUCAGUGGCUUUUCUGAAAAGAUGGGCCGUACAAAAGUAUUGGACAUCGGCACGCAAGCAAUCGAAACACCACUAAAACGAUGUUUGACAACAUUUGAUAUAACUCUUUUAGGUAUACCCAAGUUUUUACAUAUUUUAAGAAUAACUAAGUCACUUACAUUAUAUUAUAUUUGUAAUUUAGUUAGAUGCAUAAAAUAUUUGAUACAAGACAUUUUUAUUAAUUAUCUGGAUAGGAUUUACAUUGCUUCUACAGUAUCAUAAAUUAAGGUACUAAAUUUAUAGCGCGAUUUGAAAAAACCAAAUCAAUAUAUCAUAAUAUAAUAUUAUUAAUCUAUUAUAUAUCUACUGAGCUAAUUGCCAAUUGGCACCAAAUUCGGCAUACAUAUAGAAGACUCGGGGAGUGUUUAUGCUUCAUUUUUGUUGAUUAUAUAUAGGAUUAUUAUCAUUGGUUACCUUUCCAUGCUUUUCUGUGUUUUUUUUUAAUAAUAGAAAAUAAUAUUAAAUUUAUUGUUUGUUGUUUAAAUGUAAGUACUUACAUAUUUUUUGGAAACCGAUUAUAUAUUCUAUAAUAAUAAGAACAAACUGAUAUUUGAAUAGAAAUGUAUUACCCAUUAUGAUGUUAGAAUUAUAACUUUGUAUUACUGAUUCCAUUGGUUACACUGAAGAAAAACUGUUACUUUUUAGUUAUAACUUAUAACUAUUAGUUAUUAGUGUUGGCCAACGAUAUAAUUUUCAAUAUCGAUAUCGUAUUUUUUCCCCGAUAUCGUUAUCGAAGCAUAUUAGAACAUUAAAAGUAUAGAAUACAUAUUAUAUUAUGAGUGUAUUGAAAGCAUAUUAAAAGAAUACAUAUUGUUUUAAUA